RNAcentral lists this ribosomal RNA (611 nucleotides) under Bacillus pumilus. RNAcentral's name for it is "bacterial SSU rRNA". It matches the Rfam family "Bacterial small subunit ribosomal RNA", at positions 639 to 1250 of the family's 1533-position model. Lineage: Bacteria; Bacillati; Bacillota; Bacilli; Caryophanales; Bacillaceae. The record is from RNAcentral.
AACUUGAGUGCAGAAGAGGAGAGUGGAAUUCCACGUGUAGCGGUGAAAUGCGUAGAGAUGUGGAGGAACACCAGUGGCGAAGGCGACUCUCUGGUCUGUAACUGACGCUGAGGAGCGAAAGCGUGGGGAGCGAACAGGAUUAGAUACCCUGGUAGUCCACGCCGUAAACGAUGAGUGCUAAGUGUUAGGGGGUUUCCGCCCCUUAGUGCUGCAGCUAACGCAUUAAGCACUCCGCCUGGGGAGUACGGUCGCAAGACUGAAGAUCAAAGGAAUUGACGGGGGCCCGCACAAGCGGUGGAGCAUGUGGUUUAAUUAGAAACAACGCGAAGAACCUUACCAGGUCUUGACAUCCUCUGACAACCCUAGAGAUAGGGCUUUCCCUUCGGGGACAGAGUGACAGGUGGUGCAUGGUUGUCGUCAGCUCGUGUCGUGAGAUGUUGGGUUAAGUCCCGCAACGAGCGCAACCCUUGAUCUUAGUUGCCAGCAUUCAGUUGGGCACUCUAAGGUGACUGCCGGUGACAAACCGGAGGAAGGUGGGGAUGACGUCAAAUCAUCAUGCCCCUUAUGACCUGGGCUACACACGUGCUACAAUGGACAGAACAAAGGGCUGC